Molecule: unclassified non-coding RNA, 334 nt
Filed under: soil metagenome
Description: partial contains 5.8S ribosomal RNA, internal transcribed spacer 2, and large subunit ribosomal RNA
Rfam family: 5.8S ribosomal RNA (bases 1-120)
Source: RNAcentral
GAUGAAGAACGUAGCGAAAUGCGAUAAGUAAUGUGAAUUGCAGAAUUCAGUGAAUCAUCGAAUCUUUGAACGCACAUUGCGCCCGCCAGUAUUCUGGCGGGCAUGCCUGUUCGAGCGUCAUUUCAACCAUCAAGCCCCAGGCUUGUGUUGGAGCCCUGCGGCUGCCGCAGCCUCCCAAAACCAGUGGCGGGCUCGCUAUCACACCGAGUGCAGUAGUUUACUCUUCGCUCAGGGCGUGUGGCGGGUGCUAGCCGUAAAACCCCCAACUUCUCAAGGUUGACCUCGGAUCAGGUAGGAAUACCCGCUGAACUUAAGCAUAUCAAUAAGAGGAGGA